RNAcentral lists this non-coding RNA (151 nucleotides) under Magnetovibrio sp. RNAcentral describes it as "6S RNA". It matches the Rfam family "6S / SsrS RNA". Rfam says of the family: E. coli 6S RNA was the first non coding RNA to be sequenced, but its function was unknown until recently. It consists of 184 nucleotides that fold into an extended hairpin structure with a large single-stranded internal bulge. RNAcentral also lists the same sequence under 1 other name. The record is from RNAcentral. Lineage: Bacteria; Pseudomonadati; Pseudomonadota; Alphaproteobacteria; Rhodospirillales; Magnetovibrionaceae.
AGCCCGCUGCGCUGUGCGUCAGGCUUUCAAACCCCGGGGCUGAAUACUUCUAGGGAGCUGUCCCUGUCCGACCCUUGGGCCGGUUACACGGCACCCACCUGCACAUGCAGGCCACGGAGGUUUUUCGAAGCCGACGGCAGUGCGGCGGCAC